CAUCACUGACAGGGUGGAGAACAGUUGGGCAAACCACAAGAGACUUUCAGGGAAGGCCCCUGAGCAAACCUCCAGACCCAUCCCUUCAGAGCGUAAUCCAUAUGAUGUGGACUUGGUUCACAGCAGAUUAAUUCAGAUC
Molecule: long non-coding RNA, 139 nt
Organism: Thalassophryne amazonica
Lineage: Eukaryota; Metazoa; Chordata; Actinopteri; Batrachoidiformes; Batrachoididae
Exons: 4
Source: RefSeq, a predicted model, not a curated record